RNAcentral lists this ribosomal RNA (441 nucleotides) under uncultured bacterium. RNAcentral describes it as "bacterial SSU rRNA". It matches the Rfam family "Bacterial small subunit ribosomal RNA", at positions 355 to 793 of the family's 1533-position model. The record is from RNAcentral.
UGAGGAAUAUUGGACAAUGGAUGGAAAUCUGAUCCAGCCAUGCCGCGUGCAGGAAGACGGUCCUAUGGAUUGUAAACUGCUUUAGCAUGGGAGCAAUAAGGUGUACGCGUACACCGAUGAGAGUACCAUGAGAAUAAGCACCGGCUAACUCCGUGCCAGCAGCCGCGGUAAUACGGAGGGUGCAAGCGUUAUCCGGAUUUAUUGGGUUUAAAGGGUGCGUAGGCGGAAGUGCAAGUCAGCGGUGAAAUCCCCGCGCUCAACGCGGGAGUUGCCGUUGAUACUGUACAUCUGGAAUGCUCUUGCCGUGGGAGGAAUGAGUAGUGUAGCGGUGAAAUGCAUAGAUAUUACUCAGAACACCGAUUGCGAAGGCAUCUCACGAAGGGGCGAUUGACGCUGAGGCACGAAAGCGUGGGUAUCGAACAGGAUUAGAUACCCUGGUAU